AUAUGGUCAAGCGAGAAAGGGUCUAGGGUGAAUGCCUUGGAGCUUCUUGGCGAGGAAGGCCGUGGUAAGCUGCGAAAAGCCGUGGGGAGGAGCACACAUCCUGAGAUCCGCGGAUGGCCGAAUGGGGUAACCCGGCGGAGGAGAUCUCCGUCAGUCCUGACUGAAUAGAUAGGUCAGGGCAGCUAUACCCGGGGAACUGAACCAUCUCAGUACCCGGAGGAGAAGACAUCAAUAUGAGAUUCCCUUAGUAGCGGCGAGCGAACGGGGAGGAGCCUAAACCGAUGCCGUGCAAGGCGUGCACCGUUGCGGCGUCGGGGUUGUAGGGUCACGCGGGGAUUCGUGCAUGAGAGUCCGCGUAGUUAGAGAAAACCGGUCUUUAGUGGAACGCUACUGGGAAGGGCGACCAAAGAGGGUGAAAGUCCCGUACACGACAAAGAGCGGACUACGUUGCGUGAAGCCUGAGUACGACGGGACACGAGAAAUCCUGUCGGAAGCUGGGUCGACCACGAUCCAAGGCUAAAUACGGAGAAGCUACCGAUAGUGCAGAAGUACCGUGAGGGAACGGUGAAAAGAACCCCGGUGAGGGGAGUGAAAGAGAACCUGAAACCCUAGACCUACAAGCAGUCAGAGCGUCGCAAGGCGUGAUGGCGUGCCUUUUGUAGAAUGAGCCUGCGAGUUACGGUAUGUAGCAAGGUUAAGGGAUCGAAGUCCCGGAGCCGAAGGGAAACCGAGUCUGAAUAGGGCGCCAUAGUUGCAUGCCGUAGACCCGAAGCCGAGUGAUCUAUGCAUGGCCAGGUUGAAGCGUGGGUAACACCACGUGGAGGACCGAACACUAAUCUGUUAAAAAAGGUAGUGAUGAGCUGUGCUUAGGAGUGAAAGGCUAAACAAACUCGGAGAUAGCUGGUACUCGCCGAAAUAGCUUUAGGGCUAGCCUCAGGCGGAUUGUGACGGAGGUAAAGCACUGAAUGGACUAGGGCCCUUCACCGGGUACCAAACCCAAUCAAACUCUGAAUGCCGUCACACAAUACCUGGGAGUCAGACUACGGGUGAAAAGAUUCGUGGUCAAAAGGGAAACAGCCCAGAUCGUUAGCUAAGGUUCCUAAACCGCGCUCAGUGGAAAAAGAAGUGUGAUUACGAAGACAGCCAGGAGGUUGGCUUAGAAGCAGCCAUUCCUUCAAAGAGUGCGUAACAGCUCACUGGUCGAGUAGUCAUGCGCUGAUAAUAUUACGGGGCUAAGCGCGGUACCGAAGCUACGGGUCCUUACGUUUGGAGACAAACGUUGGGGCGGUAGGCGAGCAUUCCGUGGACCGACGAAGGUGAGCUGAGAGGCGAGCUGGAGGGGACGGAAGAGAGAAUGCAGGCAUGAGUAACGAAAAGACAGGUGAGAUCCCUGUCCGCCGAAAACCCGAGGUUUCCUGGGUAAAGGUCAUCUUCCCAGGGUAAGUCGGCCCCUAAGGCGAGGCGGAAACGCGUAGUCGAUGGGAAACGGGUUCAUAUUCCCGUACCUCUUGGAGUUUCGAAGGGACGACGCAUGAGACAAUACCCGGCCGGAGAACGGUUGUUCCGGUCUAAACGUCCGAGUCGUUGAGAGCGCCAGGCAAAUCCGGCGCUUGAGAUGAGGCGUGAAGGCGAGUGGAGCUACGGCAAAGCGAAGCGGGUGGCGUCAUGGUGCCAAGAAAAAGUCUCUAAGGUUAGGCUUCAAGGGACCGUACCGCAAACCGACACAGGUGGGUGGGAUGAAGAUUCUAAGGCGCUCGAGAGAACUCGCGUUAAGGAACUCGGCAAAAUGCACACGUAACUUCGGGAGAAGUGUGGCCUUCUGAGGGGUUAAACUUUCGGGAGGUUGCAGAGAAAUGGCCCAAGCGACUGUUUAUCAAAAACACAGGUCUCUGCGAACCAGCAAUGGGAAGUAUAGGGACUGACACCUGCCCGGUGCCGGAAGGUUAAGGGGAGUUGUGAGCGCAAGCGAAGCAGCGAACCGAAGCCCCGGUAAACGGCGGCCGUAACUAUAACGGUCCUAAGGUAGCGAAAUUCCUUGUCGGGUAAGUUCCGACCCGCACGAAUGGUGUAACGACUUGGGCGCUGUCUCAACGCGAGACUCGGU
This 2104-nucleotide ribosomal RNA is filed under the name Candidatus Competibacteraceae bacterium. RNAcentral describes it as "partial 23S ribosomal RNA". It matches the Rfam family "Bacterial large subunit ribosomal RNA", at positions 1 to 2037 of the family's 2925-position model. Lineage: Bacteria; Pseudomonadati; Pseudomonadota; Gammaproteobacteria; Candidatus Competibacteraceae. The record is from RNAcentral.